GACGAACGCUGGCGGCGCGCCUAACACAUGCAAGUCGAACGGAGCUGAGAGAAGCUUGCUUUUCUUAGCUUAGUGGCGAACGGGUGAGUAACGCGUGAGUAACCUGCCCUGGAGUGGGGGACAACAGUUGGAAACGACUGCUAAUACCGCAUAAGCCCACGAUCCGGCAUCGGCUUGAGGGAAAAGGAUUUAUUCGCUUCAGGAUGGACUCGCGUCCAAUUAGCUAGUUGGUGAGGUAACGGCCCACCAAGGCGACGAUUGGUAGCCGGACUGAGAGGUUGAACGGCGACAUUGGGACUGAGACACGGCCCAGACUCCUACGGGAGGGAGCAGUGGGGGAUAUUGCACAAUGGGGGAAACCCUGAUGCAGCGACGCCGCGUGGAGGAAGAAGGUUUUCGGAUUGUAAACUCCUGUCGUUAGGGACGAUAAUGACGGUACCUAACAAGAAAGCACCGGCUAACUACGUG
Molecule: ribosomal RNA, 468 nt
Filed under: uncultured bacterium
Lineage: Bacteria
Description: partial 16S ribosomal RNA
Rfam family: Bacterial small subunit ribosomal RNA
Source: RNAcentral